RNAcentral lists this ribosomal RNA (253 nucleotides) under uncultured bacterium. Its description in RNAcentral is "partial 16S ribosomal RNA". It matches the Rfam family "Bacterial small subunit ribosomal RNA", at positions 524 to 776 of the family's 1533-position model. The record is from RNAcentral.
UACGUAGGGCGCAAGCGUUGUCCGGAAUUAUUGGGCGUAAAGAGCUCGUAGGCGGUUCGUCGCGUCGGCUGUGAAAACCCGGAGCUCAACUCCGGGCCUGCAGUCGAUACGGGCGGACUCGAGUUCGGCAGGGGAGACUGGAAUUCCUGGUGUAGCGGUGAAAUGCGCAGAUAUCAGGAGGAACACCGGUGGCGAAGGCGGGUCUCUGGGCCGUUACUGACGCUGAGGAGCGAAAGCGUGGGGAGCGAACAGG